This is a non-coding RNA of Noviherbaspirillum sp. Root189, 151 nucleotides long. The record is from Rfam. Lineage: Bacteria; Pseudomonadati; Pseudomonadota; Betaproteobacteria; Burkholderiales; Oxalobacteraceae.
CCGGAUGUACGACCAUCCGUAGCCUACUUGGGCAUGCGUCACCGGCAACGGUGAGGUGUGAAGCCCCGAGGACAAUGCACCCCCGCUUCGGCGGGAUAGGCUACCUGCGAGGGUAGCGAUCGAUACUGCCAGCAGCAAGGUGGUUAAGGGG